UUAAGAUUUUCUCCAAUUAUUUCUGAGAACAUCUGGUAUAUGUUUUCAGAAAUAUUUCCUUUAAUGAUUUAGGCGUUACAAUUAUUUUGUCAGACACAAAGAUAUAGGUUAGUAAUCUAAAGAAAGGGGAAGGUCUACUGCUUCAUGGGUUUGUUUAUUUUGCAUUCCUUCUUUUGUUCUUCACUGGAUCACAAGAUUCCAUGGUUUUUAUAUUUUUGUUAACUUGGUGUAGUGUAAAAGUCAAUCCCCCACUUCCUGUUCUGAACUAAUUUGUGUUUUUUAUGGAUGACAGUAAGUAUCAUAUUUCAUCAAUCAUUCUGCUGAGCUUUUACAAAGAAGAACAUCCUCUGAUGCAGACAAAGCAUUAGAACAUAUUAAUGAGGCGUUGAUGAUGAGUAAAUACUCCGAAAAUUUGCUUGAAAUGAAAGCAAAGACUCUUUUAAUGAUAUUAGGAGGUGAUUCAGCUGUGUGAUGAGACACUUGAUUCUGCUGAGAAGAAUGCUGGUUUGCAAGUCACAGAGGAAAGCUUCUACAUCAGAAUAUGGCGGUGCUCAAUGAUCCUUAAAUCCUACUUUCACCUAGGAAAGCUUGAAGAAGGUCUGUCUUUGCUGGUGCAACAAGAGGAAAAGGUGUACACCAUAAGCAAGUAAUUAGUACUAACUUUUUAUCCAUUCACCCACCCUCUGCUCACUUCCCAGGGAGUGGAAGCAAGGUUUUGGAUUCACUCAUACUGUUAGCUGCCACUGUAUGUGAGCUCUUACAUCACAAG
Lotus japonicus is the source of this 769-nucleotide long non-coding RNA. RefSeq lists it as uncharacterized. Lineage: Eukaryota; Viridiplantae; Streptophyta; Magnoliopsida; Fabales; Fabaceae. The transcript is spliced from 3 exons. The record is from RefSeq and is a predicted model, not a curated record.